Molecule: long non-coding RNA, 865 nt
Filed under: Cicer arietinum (chickpea)
Lineage: Eukaryota; Viridiplantae; Streptophyta; Magnoliopsida; Fabales; Fabaceae
Description: long non-coding RNA (CARI_LNC002532)
Source: RNAcentral
GAUUUGCUUCAAAAUCCACGCCCCCGUUGACUAUUUCUGAUCGCCUCAAUGAGAGAAGUUUCCACUGUAAAAUUGAAGAAACUGGAGAACAACCUGCUAAUGACACAAAAAUUUCCAUUGGUCUUAAGGAAGAUAAGGGAAAUAAUGAUCAUAAAUCACAUUAUUUGUUCAACAACAUUUCAUCUUCGCCAGGAUUCACGAAUUCGGAGCAAAUGGCUUCAAUAUUUGCAAGGAGAUUUAUUGCCAUCAAACACAUCAUGCCGACAAACAAUGAAGGGAGUGCAAGACCGCAGCCUGAUGAAGCUGACUGUAUUUUAUCUGGUGGUACUAUUCAUGAUGGCAUCGAUCACGAAACAGAUCAGAAUAUUAAUUUGAAGCGGAAAUCAAAUGACAUUAUAACCUUCAAGAUAGAAUGCAGUGCAUCAUGCAAGUCUACUUCAAAGGAAAACAAAUUAAGAGACAAACCUAUAACAUCUCCAUUCAGAAUGGCUGAAAAGAAUAUUUCACAUGUGCCAGAGGGAAUCUUUGAUGCAGUGAAAAAUCUUCAAUUGUCCCGCUCCGAAAUUCUGAAGUAAGUAAUGCAGGCCAAUUAAUUUAUGCUAUGAUAUUUUGUAUAAUAAACUGGUUAUAUGUGAUUUAUGGUACAUGUGUAAUGCAUCAAACUAGAAAUAACCAAAAACAAUCCAAAUUACCUCAAAACUAUAUCAUAGAGCAUACAUUUUCACUUACAAUAAAAUUGGAUCUUGGUGAUUUUUACUUAACAUUAACAAAAUGUCCUUUGUAUGAUUGUAUCAGAUGGAUUACUGUUCAUGGCUCAAUCUCGCAACUUAAUGGUUUUUUCUUGCGUCUGCGGCUUGGAAAAUGG